RNAcentral lists this ribosomal RNA (433 nucleotides) under uncultured bacterium. RNAcentral's name for it is "partial 16S ribosomal RNA". It matches the Rfam family "Bacterial small subunit ribosomal RNA", at positions 29 to 507 of the family's 1533-position model. The record is from RNAcentral.
AGCGAACGCUGGCGGCAGGCCUAACACAUGCAAGUCGAACGGACCCUUCUGGGUUAGUGGCGGACGGGUGAGUAACACGUGGGAACGUGCCUUUAGGUUCGGAAUAGCUCCUGGAAACGGGUGGUAAUGCCGAAUGUGCCCUUCGGGGGAAAGAUUUAUCGCCUUUAGAGCGGCCCGCGUCUGAUUAGCUAGUUGGUGAGGUAACGGCUCACCAAGGCGACGAUCAGUAGCUGGUCUGAGAGGAUGACCAGCCACACUGGGACUGAGACACGGCCCAGACUCCUACGGGAGGCAGCAGUGGGGAAUCUUGCGCAAUGGGCGAAAGCCUGACGCAGCCAUGCCGCGUGAAUGAUGAAGGUCUUAGGAUUGUAAAAUUCUUUCACCGGGGACGAUAAUGACGGUACCCGGAGAAGAAGCCCCGGCUAACUUCGUG